UGCUUAGUGAUGUUGGAAGAUUGGGAUGAC
Molecule: non-coding RNA, 30 nt
Filed under: Mus musculus (house mouse)
Lineage: Eukaryota; Metazoa; Chordata; Mammalia; Rodentia; Muridae
Source: RNAcentral